Lampris incognitus (smalleye Pacific opah) is the source of this 288-nucleotide long non-coding RNA. RefSeq lists it as uncharacterized. The transcript is spliced from 3 exons. The record is from RefSeq and is a predicted model, not a curated record. Lineage: Eukaryota; Metazoa; Chordata; Actinopteri; Lampriformes; Lampridae.
AUCAAAUCUGAACGUCCGUCAAACUACUCUUACACACGUCUUUAGGUCUCUAAUAACGCCAGACUGACUGACUGGCUCUCUGAUGGACAGGCUGAAUGUUUCUGCAAAAAUAAGAGAAAGCGUUUGGGUCGUGGGGAUGCUGGAGCCUAUCCCAGAAGUCACUGGGCGGCAGGCGAGGAGACACCCUGGACAGACCACCAGGCCAUCACAGGGCCGACACAUUCACAUCUAGGGCCAAUUUAGUACGGCCCAUUCACCCUACCUACAUGUCUUUGGACUGUGGGAGGA